UACGUAGGCGGUUUAUUAAGUCAGAUGUGAAAGCCCCGGGCUUAACCUGGGAACUGCAUCUGAUACUGGUAAACUAGAGUAUGGUAGAGGGGGUAGAAUUCCUAGUGUAGCGGUGAAAUGCGUAGAUAUUAGGAGGAAUACCAGUGGCGAAGGCGGCCCCCUGGACCAAUACUGACGCUGAGGUACGAAAGCGUGGGUAGCGAACA
This 206-nucleotide ribosomal RNA is filed under the name uncultured bacterium. Its description in RNAcentral is "partial 16S ribosomal RNA". It matches the Rfam family "Bacterial small subunit ribosomal RNA", at positions 568 to 774 of the family's 1533-position model. The record is from RNAcentral.